GGAGGGGGCAAGCGUUGUUCGGAAUUACUGGGCGUAAAGGGCGCGUAGGCGGCUUUUUAAGUCGGUGGUGAAAUCCCGUGGCUCAACUGCGGAAUGGCCAUCGAUACUGGAAAGCUUGAAUCCGGAAGAGGUCGGCGGAAUUACUGGUGUAGCGGUGAAAUGCGUAGAUAUCAGUAGGAACACCGAUGGCGAAGGCAGCUGGCUGGACCGGUAUUGACGCUGAGGCGCGAAAGCGUGGGGAUCAAACAGGAUUAGAUACCCUGGUAGUCCACGCCCUAAACCAUGGAUACUUGGUGUGACCACCGCAGUGGUGGUUGUGCCGAAGCUAACGCAUUAAGUAUCCCGCCUGGGGAGUACGAUCGCAAGAUUG
RNAcentral lists this ribosomal RNA (370 nucleotides) under uncultured bacterium. RNAcentral's name for it is "bacterial SSU rRNA". It matches the Rfam family "Bacterial small subunit ribosomal RNA", at positions 527 to 896 of the family's 1533-position model. The record is from RNAcentral.